RNAcentral lists this ribosomal RNA (330 nucleotides) under uncultured eukaryote. RNAcentral's name for it is "partial 18S ribosomal RNA". It matches the Rfam family "Eukaryotic small subunit ribosomal RNA", at positions 1470 to 1796 of the family's 1831-position model. The record is from RNAcentral.
CCCUUAGAUGUUCGGGGCCGCACGCGCGCUACACUGAAGGAAUCAGCACGUCUUUCUCCUUGUCCGAAAGGACUGGGUAACCCGCUGAACCUCCUUCGUGCUAGGGAUUGGGGCUUGUAAUUCUUCCCCAUGAACGAGGAAUUCCCAGUAAGCGCGAGUCAUAAGCUCGCGUUGAUUACGUCCCCGCCCUUUGUACACACCGCCCGUCGCUACUACCGAUUGGAUGGUUUAGUGAGAUCCUCGGAUUGGUCCCGGAGCGGCCUCUGGUCGUGCCGGAGUGCCGAAAAGAAUGUCGAACUUGAUCAUCUAGAGGAAGUAAAAGUCGUAACA